CACUAGCCCAGAUAGUAGCGGCAUCCUUUUUCUGGCUUCUUUAGCCAGGAAAAGAUAUAGCGAAUAGCUGGAAAUAGC
This 78-nucleotide small RNA is filed under the name Flavobacterium sinopsychrotolerans. RNAcentral's name for it is "Flavo-1 RNA". It matches the Rfam family "Flavo-1 RNA". The record is from RNAcentral. Lineage: Bacteria; Pseudomonadati; Bacteroidota; Flavobacteriia; Flavobacteriales; Flavobacteriaceae.